GUGGGGAAUUUUGGACAAUGGGGGCAACCCUGAUCCAGCAAUGCCGCGUGCAGGAAGAAGGCCUUCGGGUUGUAAACUGCUUUUGUACGGAACGAAACGGUCCUGGUUAAUACCUGGGGCUAAUGACGGUACCGUAAGAAUAAGCACCGGCUAACUACGUGCCAGCAGCCGCGGUAAUACGUAGGGUGCAAGCGUUAAUCGGAAUUACUGGGCGUAAAGCGUGCGCAGGCGGUUUUGUAAGACAGGCGUGAAAUCCCCGGGCUCAACCUGGGAAUGGCGCUUGUGACUGCAAGGCUGGAGUGCGGCAGAGGGGGAUGGAAUUCCGCGUGUAGCAGUGAAAUGCGUAGAUAUGCGGAGGAACACCGAUGGCGAAGGCAAUCCCCUGGGCCUGCACUGGCGCUCAUGCACGAAAGCGUGGGGAGCAAACAGGAUUAGAAACCCCAGUAGUCC
This 450-nucleotide ribosomal RNA is filed under the name uncultured bacterium. RNAcentral's name for it is "partial 16S ribosomal RNA". It matches the Rfam family "Bacterial small subunit ribosomal RNA", at positions 354 to 796 of the family's 1533-position model. The record is from RNAcentral.